RNAcentral lists this ribosomal RNA (274 nucleotides) under uncultured bacterium. RNAcentral's name for it is "partial 16S ribosomal RNA". It matches the Rfam family "Bacterial small subunit ribosomal RNA", at positions 523 to 796 of the family's 1533-position model. The record is from RNAcentral.
AUACGGAGGGUGCAAACGUUGUUCGGAAUUACUGGGCGUAAAGCGCGCGUAGGCGGUUUGUUAAGUCAGAUGUGAAAGUCCACAGCUCAACUGUGGAAGUGCAUUUGAAACUGGCAGACUUGAGUACUGGAGGGGGUGGUGGAAUUCCCGGUGUAGAGGUGAAAUUCGUAGAUAUCGGGAGGAAUACCGGUGGCGAAGGCGACCACCUGGCCAGAUACUGACGCUGAGGUGCGAAAGCGUGGGGAGCAAACAGAAUUAGAAACCCUAGUAGUCC